This 206-nucleotide long non-coding RNA is filed under the name Elaeis guineensis (African oil palm). RNAcentral's name for it is "long non-coding RNA (EGUI_LNC017571)". Lineage: Eukaryota; Viridiplantae; Streptophyta; Magnoliopsida; Arecales; Arecaceae. The record is from RNAcentral.
GUAGCUAUGGUUUAUGCAAGUACUUGUGAUAUGGAGCAUAAUCAAUUAUAGAAGCAGAUCCUUUCAACUAAUUCUCUUAGCCUACCAACUCUUAUCGUUGGAGAUUUUAACCGUAUAAUUAGUGUGAAAGAUAAGAAAAGAGGUAGACUAUUUAAAGUGAAUCGGGCUGUGAGAGGGUUUCAGAAUUUUCUUAGACUAACUGGAUU